AACGAACGCUGGCGGCGUGCUUAACACAUGCAAGUCGAACGCGAAAGGGGCUUCGGUCCUGAGUAAAGUGGCGCACGGGUGAGUAACGCGUGGAUAAUCUACCCGAUGGACCGGGAUAACAUUUCGAAAGGGGUGCUAAUACCGGAUAAGACCACGAGCACUUAGGUGUUUGCGGUAAAAGGUGGGGACCUUCGGGCCUACCGUCAAUGGAUGAGUCCGCGUACCAUUAGCUAGUUGGUGGGGUAAGAGCCUACCAAGGCGACGAUGGUUAGCUGGUCUGAGAGGAUGAUCAGCCACACUGGAACUGAGACACGGUCCAGACUCCUACGGGAGGCAGCAGUGGGGAAUUUUGCGCAAUGGGGGAAACCCUGACGCAGCAACGCCGCGUGAGUGAUGAAGGCCUUCGGGUCGUAAGCUCUGUCAGAGGGGAAGAAAUAGCAGGGGCGCUAAUAUCGCUUAUGCUUGACGGUACCCUCAAAGAAGCACCGGCUAACUCCGUGCCAGCAGCCGAC
Molecule: ribosomal RNA, 512 nt
Filed under: uncultured bacterium
Lineage: Bacteria
Description: bacterial SSU rRNA
Rfam family: Bacterial small subunit ribosomal RNA
Source: RNAcentral